Molecule: ribosomal RNA, 450 nt
Filed under: uncultured bacterium
Lineage: Bacteria
Description: bacterial SSU rRNA
Rfam family: Bacterial small subunit ribosomal RNA
Source: RNAcentral
GAUGAACGCUGGCGGCGUGCUUAACACAUGCAAGUCGAGCGAAGCACCUUGACGGAUUUCUUCGGAUUGAAGCCUUGGUGACUGAGCGGCGGACGGGUGAGUAACGCGUGGGUAACCUGCCUCAUACAGGGGGAUAACAGUUGGAAACGGCUGCUAAUACCGCAUAAGCGCACAGUACCGCAUGGUACGGUGUGAAAAACUCCGGUGGUAUGAGAUGGACCCGCGUCUGAUUAGGUAGUUGGUGGGGUAACGGCCUACCAAGCCGACGAUCAGUAGCCGACCUGAGAGGGUGACCGGCCACAUUGGGACUGAGACACGGCCCAAACUCCUACGGGAGGCAGCAGUGGGGAAUAUUGCACAAUGGGGGAAACCCUGAUGCAGCGACGCCGCGUGAGCGAUGAAGUAUUUCGGUAUGUAAAGCUCUAUCAGCAGGGAGGAAAAUGACGGUAC